GAUGAACGCUGGCGGCGUGCCUAAUACAUGCAAGUCGAGCGAACGGACGAGAAGCUUGCUUCUCUGAUGUUAGCGGCGGACGGGUGAGUAACACGUGGAUAACCUACCUAUAAGACUGGGAUAACUUCGGGAAACCGGAGCUAAUACCGGAUGAUAUUUUGAACCGCAUGGUUCAAAAGUGAAAGACGGUCUUGCUGUCACUUAUAGAUGGAUCCGCGCUGCAUUAGCUAGUUGGUAAGGUAACGGCUUACCAAGGCAACGAUGCAUAGCCGACCUGAGAGGGUGAUCGGCCACACUGGAACUGAGACACGGUCCAGACUCCUACGGGAGGCAGCAGUAGGGAAUCUUCCGCAAUGGGCGAAAGCCUGACGGGGCAACGCCGCGUGAGUGAUGAAGGUCCUCGGAUCGUAAAACUCUGUUAUUAGGGAAGAACAUAUGUGUAAGUAACUGUGCACAUCUUGACGGUACCUAAUCAGAAAGCCACGGCUAACUACGUG
Molecule: ribosomal RNA, 497 nt
Filed under: uncultured bacterium
Lineage: Bacteria
Description: partial 16S ribosomal RNA
Rfam family: Bacterial small subunit ribosomal RNA
Source: RNAcentral